Molecule: small nuclear RNA, 94 nt
Filed under: Ictidomys tridecemlineatus (thirteen-lined ground squirrel)
Lineage: Eukaryota; Metazoa; Chordata; Mammalia; Rodentia; Sciuridae
Description: U2 spliceosomal RNA (ENSSTOG00000024264.1)
Rfam family: U2 spliceosomal RNA
About the family: U2 is a small nuclear RNA (snRNA) component of the spliceosome (involved in pre-mRNA splicing). Complementary binding between U2 snRNA (in an area lying towards the 5' end but 3' to hairpin I) and the branchpoint sequence (BPS) of the intron results the bulging out of an unpaired adenosine, on the BPS, which initiates a nucleophilic attack at the intronic 5' splice site, thus starting the first of two transesterification reactions that mediate splicing.
Source: RNAcentral
AUCGCUUCUUGGUCUUUUGGCUAAGAUCAUGUGUAGUAUCUGUUCUUACCAGUUUAAUAAAUUCUGGCUAUUAAGCCUCAGAAGAGCAGCUAGC